UGGGGAAUCUUGCACAAUGGGCGAAAGCCUGAUGCAGCAACGCCGCGUGUGGGAUGAAGGCCUUCGGGUUGUAAACCACUGUCAACGGGGAGGAAAUGCAGGGGGGUUAUCCCCUCUGUUUGACCUAUCUGUGGAGGAAGUACGGGCUAAGUUCGUGCCAGCAGCCGCGGUAAUACAGAGGGUGCGAGCGUUAAUCGGAAUUACUGGGCGUAAAGGGUGCGUAGGUGGUUAAAUAAGUUAGGUGUGAAA
Molecule: ribosomal RNA, 249 nt
Filed under: uncultured organism
Description: partial 16S ribosomal RNA
Rfam family: Bacterial small subunit ribosomal RNA
Source: RNAcentral